This 253-nucleotide ribosomal RNA is filed under the name uncultured bacterium. RNAcentral describes it as "partial 16S ribosomal RNA". It matches the Rfam family "Bacterial small subunit ribosomal RNA", at positions 524 to 776 of the family's 1533-position model. The record is from RNAcentral.
UACGAAGGGGGCUAGCGUUGCUCGGAAUCACUGGGCGUAAAGCGCACGUAGGCGGCUUUCUAAGUCAGGGGUGAAAUCCUGGAGCUCAACUCCAGAACUGCCUUUGAUACUGGAGAGCUUGAGUCCGGGAGAGGCGAGUGGAACUCCGAGUGUAGAGGUGAAAUUCGUAGAUAUUCGGAAGAACACCAGUGGCGAAGGCGGCUCACUGGCCCGGUACUGACGCUGAGGUGCGAAAGCGUGGGGAGCAAACAGG